RNAcentral lists this ribosomal RNA (253 nucleotides) under uncultured bacterium. Its description in RNAcentral is "partial 16S ribosomal RNA". It matches the Rfam family "Bacterial small subunit ribosomal RNA", at positions 524 to 776 of the family's 1533-position model. The record is from RNAcentral.
UACGUAGGUGACCAGCGUUGUCCGGAUUUACUGGGCGUAAAGAGCGCGCAGGCGGUCGUUCAAGUCGAGUGUGAAAGCCCCCGGCUCAACUGGGGAGGGUCACUCGAUACUGAUCGACUCGAAGGCAGGAGAGGGAAGUGGAAUUCCCGGUGUAGCGGUGAAAUGCGCAGAUAUCGGGAAGAACACCCGUGGCGAAGGCGGUUCUCUGGGACGGUACUGACGCUGAGACGCGAAAGCGUGGGGAGCGAACAGG